Molecule: unclassified non-coding RNA, 288 nt
Filed under: Hevea brasiliensis (rubber tree)
Lineage: Eukaryota; Viridiplantae; Streptophyta; Magnoliopsida; Malpighiales; Euphorbiaceae
Source: RNAcentral
GCAUCGCCGGCAAGCAUAUAUGAUAAUAUAUAUGUAAGAGUUAGUUUGUGUCUCUGUUAGGGGUGGACGUAAAAAGGUGAUAAAAAAAAAUUCCACGGAGGGUUUUACUUGAACAACUUUUAGAAUUAUUUAUUGAGAAGGGGAAGUCUGAGGAAGGGAAGGGAAGGGAAAGUUAAGGAAAAGAAAGGGAUUCUACGUGUUUGCUUUGUCUGUCAUGCGUGCGUGGGACCUAAUCCGUCUCUUUGGCAAUUGAACAAACAUUUGGUGAGCAGGCAUUGAUUCUCUUGC